RNAcentral lists this long non-coding RNA (232 nucleotides) under Lathyrus oleraceus (garden pea). RNAcentral describes it as "Pisum sativum (pea) long non-coding RNA (PSAT_LNC023383)". Lineage: Eukaryota; Viridiplantae; Streptophyta; Magnoliopsida; Fabales; Fabaceae. The record is from RNAcentral.
UCCUCAUACGCAUAUGGAUUAGGCCAUACACGUAUGAGCAGAAGGCUUAAAUUUUUCAUUUUUUAUUUUUUAUUUUUUCAUGCCUUGGGUGUGCAAUUUUUCUUCUGUCUGCUUGGCUCUGCAACACAUGACUCAAAAAAAUUAACAUAAAUACACUAGAAUGAAAAACACACUACUGAAAUUAAACUACUAAUACCUCCCUCAGGUUGCCUCCCAAGAAGAAAUUUUUAAC